GGAAAAAAAAAAACUUGCAAGAUGUUGAAUGCUUCUUUUUUUUCUUCUUCUUCUUUUGUAGAUGAUCAAACAAAAGUUUUUCAUAGAGAGGACAAAGUGUUAACAUGCUAUAUCCUGAAUGCCUUUGUUAUCGCAGUUUUUCACAAUUGCUAAGACUCUUUUCUUAAAAGGAUCCCCUGUUUUCUCAUACUGUGACUGAACAACAUUCACAAAACCUCUGACUCUUCUGGAAGUAUCAAACAAUAUCCUCCAACUGUAAACCAAACAAUGUUUGUAGGUCAUAGACUCAGUCAAACAAUGCUGAGCAUUCAUUACACUACAUCCAAAAAUUCAGCGUUCUGGCUGUGUAGCUCCAGGAAAAAAAUCCAAUAAAUGCAUAUAAAAAGCAUAACUCUAAUAGAGUUUAAAUACUACUAAGUACAAGCAGUACAGGAUUACACAGUGUCUGUGGGUCUGUGGAUUAAGUAGGUCAAAAGGCUAAGAAACAAGCACAUAACAGUACAGUGUAAGUGUAACUGAAAGUGAACAUGUGAUCUGUUCAGCUGUGUCACGCCAGAGUUCCGGUACUGUUGGUAUUUACAGAGAGCUCAGUGACAAGAUUGUGUUUAAAAGAGAUUUUUGCAACUCAGCCUGUUGCAUGUGUAUUUCUGGGAGUUCAUGUUUUUCAAGACACACAACAUUGUGAGGAGAAAUCUUAGUGCGCUGAUAUUUAACGCAGAAAAAAUGGGUCACCUGCUUAACCAGGUGAGCUGUGGUGGUGCCCCAGAUCCUGCUUAUUUAAAGCUGAAAUCUCCAAAUUGAUGUCUAACACGGUGAAACGUGUUUUAAGGUUUAAGAGCGUUCGAGUGACUAAACGGGUUCAAAACACUGUUUGGUUCAGAGAAUGGGAUUUAAUGUCUUAGCAAUUCAGAAAAACUGUGAGAAAUUACAACCCUAUUGUAACAACAGACAGACUAGGAGGGGGAAGAAAAAAAAGGCGAUAUGUUGAGCUCCUGCUCUUGAAUUUUCUCGGGUUUCUUUUAACUGGUGCUGAUGCCUGCUCCUUAUCGAGAGGAGAGUGAAAAGGAAUGGGCAUGUUUUUUUUGUUUUUUUGGGUUUUUUUUUUUCUUUAAAGUCUUGGUGAUCCAUUUCAAAGACACAUGUGAUCAAAGAAUAGAGAAACAAGGUUUAGUACUUCUCCAUUCCUUUGUGUUAGAACCCUGGGGGGGAGGGAUUUACGUUGGAUUGCAACCACAGUUGCUUUCCUCAGACUGGUUUCCUUAUUCGAGCUACUUCACGUGCACACAGAUACAAAGACGUAAGUCUGCGACAUUGCAAAGCCUGUUAUCUUAUUUUUAGCGCUCUUUCUUUUUUGUUCCAAACAUUUACUCCCCUCGGUCUACAUUCCACGGCCGUACAAUCUCAUCCAAUCCCCCAGCAAGGUGUAAGGAAGGUUAAAGCUGAAGGACAAUACUGAGGGAUAUAGUGGGUCGUGUGUGUGUCUGGGUGUGUGUCUGGGUGUCUGUGUGUUUUUUGGAAGGAAUCAAAGCUCAUCAGUAAGAACUUUGUGUGGCAGGUUAUAUGGAAGUUGGACGUGUGUGUAUGUUUGGUGGGCUGAUUGACUCACUAUAUCUCUGCUGUCUGUAAUAGAUGUUCAGGUGGUGUAUAAACUACACCCUCGAGGGCAGUUGAACACAUGUUUACAUAGCAAAUGUGUUUGCCUCGCUUACAUUUGAAAUGUCAUCAGCUCGGCUUUGCAAAUAUUAGCUAGCAGAGAAAUGACCUAACAUGAGCGAGACCUUUUUGGGGCCUGUGGAAGCGAAUGCUUAAUGGGAUACAAAGAUGUUAUUCAUGCAGCCGAUUUUUCUUCAACACACAGCCGUGCUACACAAAAGUGGGAAGGUUUCGUUUGUCCUUCCAGUUCUGCUAGAAAUGACUCGUUAUAUUUGACUUUAAACUAAAGGUACACUAAUCUCACGGCUGUGUCCUUUUAGCUCUCACUUAGGGUCGCUACGACGACUGUUUAUGAGAGCCGUGAAUAGGCGUCUUUAGCUGCCUGGUGAAGAAAACGUAACAAAUUAACUUCAAUCAAUUUUUAACCGAAGUAAAGGCGUAUUCUGUCUCGAGGCUUCAAUCAGUAUUCCUCAUUUUGGUUGCUCUAUAUUUGCAGUUGAAGGUAGCGAGAAAAAGUCCACAGAAAGUGCCUUUCCUCUUGAUGGUGCUGUAAAUUGAAAGAUAAAAUGUAAAAAUCAAAGACGUAGAAUCUCCUUUUGAAACACACAUUGCAAUGCAGGAGUUGCUGCAUUUCUCUCUCACACAUACACACUCACACUCACAGUAAAUGGUUUUUGUUUUUUAUUUUUUCAGAUGGCAGUGCAGACUUGUUUUUCAUGUAUUUAAAGAUUAAGCCUACAUAGUAAAAGACAUUAUGCCAAGUAAAUGGUUGUGGUUGAGCUCUUGCUUUCUAGUGCAUUUUUAGUGUCUUGGACCAAUGGUGUUGUUGGUACAGUGGAAUGUGUGUUUGGGUGGGUUGGCGGAGAGGGGUGGUUGGGGGUCACAGCUGACACUAGCGUGGUGUGACACAGCCCAGCCCACGAAUGGCAAACAUAGCACAGCACUUUAGAGACUGCCACAGUCUCUGUCCCUCCAGUCCCCUUCUUCCUCCCGCCCAGGAGGAGGAGAGGAUCCAGACCUCAGCGUAAACGAGGAGACGACGAAGGGAUGCGCGUUACCAAACGAGGCAGUCGGUCAUUAAAAGUGUGCCUCAUGCUCUUGUGACUUUAUUGGCUCGGUAGAGUCUGCCUGCUCUCAGGUGGCGUGUUCUCGUCAGGACUGCCACUUUUGACACUUUGUUACAGCUAGGGCUGGGUGUCACAAACGUCACUCAUCAGUACCUCCUGGUUUUUGGAAUCGGAGUUUCGAAGCAGGCUGGAACUUUUUAAAUUACUUUCUUCUUCUUCUUCUUUUUCUUUUUCUUUUUUUCUUUUUCUUUUUUUGCACUGAGGGAAAGCAACAUGCGUGAGGAGGCAGAAAGGUGUCUUUUUAAAAAAAAACAUUUGGUUCAGAAAUGAAAUGAACAGAGCCAGUGUCAGUAUUGAGACUUGUCUCAAGAUGCCCAGCCCUAGUAGCAGCCCCAUGGCGUUCUUUCAUCUUAGAGCAAUGCCCUGCCAUGUGUCUUGUCCCUGUCGGAGGGAAUGAGUGCCCAGCAGUAUCCUCGUCUUGAGCCGGUAGGGAUUCGACUGAAAAACCGAGUAUGGUCUGUAGUUCUGUGGGUACCUUUUCAGUCCAGGGGGUGAAAUCUUUCUAUUACAAGAAAUCUCAAAAAACACUGCACCUCACUUACCUUGGUAUGCUGCAUAUGUUAUACUACAUGAAAGAAAACUGCAAAUUGCUUUUAUGACAUAUAAUGCUUGAGUAAUGCCUGAUUGCGAUAUUCUUAUACGGUAACUAUUUUAGAUUCGAAAUAAGUAUAACUGUAAAAGAUAUUCUGUUUUGUCUUAACACUUAUCCAAUUUUGAAAUAUUGUUCUUGAGCCGACUUUUAUUUUGUUGUCCUAUUUAAAUGUGUUGUUCUUUAAAUAUAUAUAUGAAAUAUAUAUAUGCGGAAUAUUUUAUGGUGUAUUUAUUGAGUCCGUUCGAGCGGCUGGAGUGUCCGCGUCAAUCUUGCAGCGUGGCGGGGGUGGAGCCAGGAGGGAGAAGCCUUGAGCCCCUCCCCUUCCAUGUUGACGCCUUAUUCUUCUAGACACGCAAGCACAACAAUAUGGAGGGGGGUGCGAGGUGGAGGGAAGGGCGGCGGCGGCGGAUUUUGACUUGUUCCAGGUCGACUUCCUCCUCCUUCCUUUUCCAAAUAUUCUUAACCCUCCCAUCUUCUUUUACCACCCGUGAAGGCCAGACGCCAGCCCCCUACGUGUUGCAGCUCAUCUCUGACGAAGGGAACCAUUUCUGAACCACACUGACUUGUGUCGAAUAGCUGACUUUUCAUCCCAAGCUGCUAAAUUGAAUAUUUUACAGCAGGAACAGGUCUCAUUCCACAGGAAAACACAUGCCUCAGCCUUAAGUGCGUCCUUAUGUAAUAGAAAUCUGUGUGACUUUUGCAAUGCCUGUGCUGUUGGGUGGCCUACCAAGAAAACUAGCCUAUGUACUUGAUCUGCCCUGAUAUCUCCAACCGGCAUACUCAUCUGUUCUCACCUCGCAUGUAAACCACUAACAUUGCUACACAACGAAGAGCGCUCUGAUGAAUGAACAUUGCUCUGUUUAAUAUGUACUGAUGUCAGAACGGGAGCCAGGUCUGGGUCAAACUACCUUUGGAAACCCUUUUCGGUAUUUGGUGUUACCUGUUGAGCAGUGCCUACAGCCCAAGGGCAGUUUGGAUAUGUACGUAUGCUCAUUAGACUUUAUGCACUUGCCUGUAUUUUGUAAGCUUGUUGGUCGGUUGACACAGUCAUUGUCGCUGAUUGCAAAUCCAAAGAAGGAUCCAAAGAACAGUUUGACGCAGGCCUUACACGAGAACCAGGCGGUUCCCCACUGUGCCGGAUUACAGAGACCUGUGCCUGUACAAUGAACCAAGGAUGAAUUGUGUUGUGAUGAUUUUUUUUUUUUUCUUUUUGUUAUCUGUUGGUUGUCCCUCACCUCAUCGGAGGAUCAGAGACAUUGACCUUUUGAGUGUUGUCAAUCUUCCAAAGCAAGAAACGCCCUCUGUCCUUUUCAACCAAAUGGCUUUUGGUUUAUUCAAUGUUUACCGUAAUGUUUACUCCCAUGGCUAUCUGAUGUUGAACCUGUUUUCAUUACAUUAGCAUUCCAAAAUGACUUCAAACCAAAAACUGCAGAAGAGAUUAGGCUCCUGACGCCGUUUACCUUGUAUACACUUAAUGGUUUUGAAGACAGAUUAUUUGAGAGUGGCCAAGGAUAUCAAACAUUUUGGGUACUCUGAUUGUUCAAAACACUUGUGUUCCGAUGCAUCGUCACUCUUGUGUCAGUCUUAUUUCAAACUAAAGAUCUUGAGCUCUGAUACCUCUGAGUGAGGCACCAGCAAACUGACGUGUACGUUGAACCUUCACCACCGGAUCAUCCAUGUCUCAGUCUCUGUAUUUUUGCAAAAGGCUGUGUUGUACCAACAGCUCUAUUCCUUUCAGUUUUAAUGGUCUUUCUUUUGUUACUCUCUCUCUUAUAGGUUGUUGGCCUUUUUAGUGUUGCUUUGCUUCAGUUUGAAGUGUAUCUUUGACUAAUACUUGCAAUAAAAAUGCUUUGCUUUAU
Oreochromis aureus is the source of this 5231-nucleotide long non-coding RNA. NCBI's taxonomy places the organism in Eukaryota, Metazoa, Chordata, Actinopteri, Cichliformes, Cichlidae. The record is from Ensembl.